Molecule: transfer RNA, 72 nt
Filed under: Lactococcus cremoris
Lineage: Bacteria; Bacillati; Bacillota; Bacilli; Lactobacillales; Streptococcaceae
Description: Lactococcus lactis subsp. cremoris tRNA-OTHER
Rfam family: tRNA
About the family: Transfer RNA (tRNA) molecules are approximately 80 nucleotides in length.
Source: RNAcentral
GCGAACGUAGUUUCAGGGUGAACACAACCUUUGCCAUGGUUGGGGUCGCGAGUUCGAAUCUCGUCGUUCGCU